UUAAAUUUUAAAAGAUAUUAAAUGAAGGAAGAUAGUAUUAUUUAUAACAAAGCAAAACAUUAAUACUUCGUAUGGCGCUAGAGACAUACACGCAGAUGUUUUAUCAACAGCAAAGAACAGAUAAAGCUGAAAAGAUAGCAUCACGCUCGUAUUCUUUUUCCUUUUUUUUUUUUCCAUUUAUAAUAUUUUGUCGCAGUUUGUAAUAUACAUACUAUAGUAAUAAGUCAGAGGGCUCUCGUUUCCAGCCUUCUAACCCUACCCGUCCGAUCGAUCAAUU
RNAcentral lists this long non-coding RNA (277 nucleotides) under Capsella rubella. Its description in RNAcentral is "long non-coding RNA (CRUB_LNC003482)". Lineage: Eukaryota; Viridiplantae; Streptophyta; Magnoliopsida; Brassicales; Brassicaceae. The record is from RNAcentral.